UCAACAAACUCCCUUUUUCAUUUUUUUUGGGUUUUUCACAGCCGUGGGAGUAAUUACAUUUUUGACCUUCCAAACUCCAAAAUCAUCAACAAUUCAAUGGCCGUCUCUAGUUACGCUAGGGCAUUUCCGUCAUUCGAAUGUCGUUCGGAGCCUGAUUUCUCCGGCAGCCUUCCACAUCCUAAAGCCGGCGUUCGGUUCUCCGGCAAGUAUAACUCCGGGAGUAACCGAUCUCAGGUUUAUGGACUGUCUUCUUUGAUCUAUAGGUUUCCGCCUAAUUUCGUGAGGCAGCUAAGCAUUAAGGCUAGGAGGAAUUGCAGCAACAUCGGCGUGGCUCAAGUUGUGGCGGCUUCCUGGUCUAACAACCAAGCCGGUCCUGAGUUCACUCCGGCGGCUAAUGCUGUCGAUUCAUCCGCUUCCGCUGCUGUUACUUCGAUUGGUAUCACCACAGGUGACGAGGAGGUGGCGGUUGUGGAAAAUGCGGAUUGUAGUGAUCAAAAUGUACAGAUUAAGGGUUCGACAGGUGUUAAAUAUGCUUCAUUUUUGAAUUCAGAUGGAAGCGUUGCUAUUCAUGCCGGUGAAAGGUUGGGACGCGGUAUUGUUACUGAUGCCAUAACUACCCCAGUGGUUAACACAUCUGCUUACUUCUUCAACAAAACUUCUGACCUUAUUGAUUUUAAGGAGAAAAGACGUGCAAGUUUUGAAUAUGGCCGCUAUGGGAACCCCACUACUGUUGUUUUGGAGGAGAAAAUUAGUGCACUUGAGGGUGCUGAAUCAACCUUGAUAGUGGCAUCUGGAAUGUGUGCUAGUACUGUCAUGUUCCUGGCCUUGGUUCCUGCUGGUGGGCAUAUUGUUACUACUACAGACUGCUACAGGAAGACACGUGUUUUUAUUGAGACAAUAUUACCUAAAAUGGGAAUUACGGCCACAGUUAUUGAUCCAGCAGAUAUGGGAGCUUUGGAGUUAGCAUUAAAUCAGAAGAAAGUGGAUCUUUUCUUUACUGAGUCUCCAACAAAUCCAUUCCUGAGAUGUGUUGACAUUGAGCUGGUUUCAAAGCUUUGCCGUGAAAAAGGAGCCUUGGUUUGCAUAGAUGGAACAUUUGCAACUCCUCUUAACCAGAAGGCCCUUGCUCUAGGGGCUGACCUUGUUGUGCACUCUGCUACAAAAUUCCUUGGUGGGCACAACGAUGUUCUUGCAGGUUGUAUUAGUGGUCCUGAAAAAUUAGUUUCAGUAAUCCGAAACUUGCAUCAUAUCCUGGGUGGUGCUCUCAAUCCUAAUGCUGCAUAUCUUAUCAUCCGAGGCAUGAAGACGCUGCAUCUUCGUGUACAGCAACAAAAUUCUACUGCAUUGAGGAUGGCCGAAAUUUUAGAGGCUCAUCCCAAGGUGAAACACGUCUAUUAUCCAGGCUUGCCGAGUCAUCCGGAAUAUCACCUUGCAAAGAAACAAAUGACUGGCUUUGGUGGUGUG
This 1464-nucleotide unclassified non-coding RNA is filed under the name Hevea brasiliensis (rubber tree). The record is from RNAcentral. Lineage: Eukaryota; Viridiplantae; Streptophyta; Magnoliopsida; Malpighiales; Euphorbiaceae.